GGUCGCAUGGUGUAGUGGUUAUCACGUUUGUCUUACACACAAACGGUCGCCGGUUCGAUCCCGGCUGUGGCCA
RNAcentral lists this transfer RNA (73 nucleotides) under Wolfiporia cocos MD-104 SS10. Its description in RNAcentral is "tRNA-Val (TAC) (tRNA-Val-TAC-1-1)". It matches the Rfam family "tRNA". Rfam says of the family: Transfer RNA (tRNA) molecules are approximately 80 nucleotides in length. Their secondary structure includes four short double-helical elements and three loops (D, anti-codon, and T loops). Further hydrogen bonds mediate the characteristic L-shaped molecular structure. tRNAs have two regions of fundamental functional importance: the anti-codon, which is responsible for specific mRNA codon recognition, and the 3' end, to which the tRNAs corresponding amino acid is attached (by aminoacyl-tRNA synthetases). tRNAs cope with the degeneracy of the genetic code in two manners: having more than one tRNA (with a specific anti-codon) for a particular amino acid; and 'wobble' base-pairing, i.e. permitting non-standard base-pairing at the 3rd anti-codon position. Lineage: Eukaryota; Fungi; Basidiomycota; Agaricomycetes; Polyporales; Phaeolaceae. The record is from RNAcentral.